RNAcentral lists this long non-coding RNA (2955 nucleotides) under Otus sunia (Oriental scops-owl). RNAcentral describes it as "lncRNA (ENSOSUG00000006780.1)". Lineage: Eukaryota; Metazoa; Chordata; Aves; Strigiformes; Strigidae. The record is from RNAcentral.
GGAAGCUGCUCGGCGUUUCGUGGCUGUGCUGUGUUGGUGUGGAUAUGGAAGUGCUCUUUCCAGAGUCUUCACUGUCCUGCAAGUUAUGGGGAGAGUCUCCCACUGACCUGAGCUGCUUCGUGGCUGGCGCACGAUACCACCAGCACCUGGCUUAAUGCCAAAGUCGGACACCUGCACAGAAGCUGCGAACUCAGCAGAGUUUCCCCUGCGCUUGGGAAGCAGCAGCUCAGCUGUUUUCUCCGAAGACCUGAACAUCCCAUCCUGCGUGUCCCACGGAUCUGGCCCCGACUGCCGGGUCCCUUUUCACGGCCACUUGCACAGGACAGCAGCUGUAGUGCCUGCAGUUGGGUGUAAAUGUCCGUCCUUAGCAUUUUUAAAGCUGCUUUGAAAGGUUUGUACAGAAGAUAUAAAGUCCACUCGACCUUGUGGGUUCAGGGCGAUGGGUUACCGAAAUGUCUGAGCACCAAACUGCCCACGGGAGAGCAGGCAGAGGGACCAGGCUCAGCCCCGUGGGGCAGCUCAGGGUGACCAGCACUGCCUCGAAGCCUCUAUGCCUAUAUAACUCAUUAUCACUGUUCCAAUGUUUAAUUAAUUAUGGGAGCAAUUGCUGCCUGCUUCUCCUGUAGGAGGCAAUGAAUAGUAAAAUGAUGCUUUCCCUCCUCUCCUCUUUCCACUGCCCAAAUAUACAGUUGCUUUCCCCGUUUUGAAAGCUGUUGCUGCAGAUGUGCCUUUUCCUUUGUAUUUUCGAGCCUCUCAGGGUUGUGGUGCUGUGGGUUGACACCCCUGUUUGCAGUCUGGGCUGGGACCCGGUCCCACAGCAGCCCCUCGCUGCCACCAGCUCCGCAGGUUUCCAGUCCGAGCUGAGAUGUUGUGGGAUCAUGCUGGCUGUGCGCUUUGAUGGGGACUCGACAGGAUCAGCCAAAUCUCAAGUCAACUUGGGCACAACAGGCACGACCCCGGCUGAGCGUGGCCCCCCAACAUCCCGUUCCAGCCGCCGUCGGUGAGCCCAGCACUGGGUCAUGAGAGCCUCGCUCAACAAGUGCAGCACCCACAGGGCCAGCGGCUGUGCCGAUCGAUCGGGGCCAGGGCUGGGGCUGUGCCUGCCCUUCCCAGCCACUGUGCCCAGUAUUGACGAGUGGGGCUGAGGCUGGGAAGCAACGGCUGCUGGCGGGGAGCAGGAGGGGACCGCUGCGGGGGUGUCCCCAGGGCUCAUGCUUCCGCUUGGACCGGCCGCCGAGCAUCACCCGAGCAUCCUCUCAGCACGGGGUUGGGAUGACACUGCAUGGAGAAUAUUUGUUAGUAUUGAAUUACCUACAGUAUUUGGAAAGAUGAACUGUUAAUAUAGUGGAAUAGACUUCAGAAGGGCACUGGUGUCCAUCUGGCUGGGCAGUGCAGGGGGAUGUGCCUGCGUGCAGGGGGAUGCCUGCCCCCAGCAGGAAGCUCUGGUGGUUUCUGUAGGAGCGCAGGCAAAGGGCUCGCAGCGCUACUCCGGGUGCAGCAGGCGCCUGCCAGCACAGGAGCUUCAGAGGUGCCUGAGGUUGGUUUUUUAGCAAACCCUGUUUGGCUGCAAGGCUCAUCUGUGCUGUUAGUGGUGUGUAGGAAGGUGGGUGAUGUCAGUGUGGGCCUACAGGAUGGGGGCUGUUCAGCAGCCCUUGGAUAAAUAUCAGAGUGUAGGGUAUGACAGAGAGGGUUUUUUUGUUCCUGUUGUUCUUCGUUCAUGUACAAACUAUGAAACCAGCGUUUUCUUAUCUGGAGCUGUCCCAGGCUUCAGUAUUCAAGCCCUGGCAACCACUAAUCGCCUUAUUUCCCCUCCUUCAGGGAAAUUUUAACUCUUGUCCUCUGCUGCUGAGUAGAUCUUUAAGCCGGUAAUAACGUGAGACAGAGGGAAAUUAACGGCCUUGUCCUGCCCCUUCCCUGGCUGAAAACUGCUAAAGAAUUAAAGAAUUAAAAAGGUAUAAAUUUGCAUUCAAAUUAUAUUCCUGCUGAUGAGGGGUUUGGUUUUAACGGGGUGCGAGGGAAGGUGUAGACACCCUUCCCCUUCCCUCCUCUCCGAGCCCCCGGCAGCUCCUGUGUUUGCGGGAUCAGCCGUGGGGGACGGGAACCCCGUGGUGCUGGGGUUGCCCGGGAUGGGAUCUCAUCAGCCAACAGCCGCUCCGGUGUCUUGUUCCCUCUUAAAUGUCCUAAUCCUCGCCGCUGGCACCUGCAGAGGGGAUGAGGAGGGCUAGUGAGUGGCCUUCCUCUGCUGGCCAGGGAUGAGGCAGUGGCACCGUGCGGGUGCUGCGCCCCGUGUGCUGUGCUGGGGUGUAAAUCCGGGGUGGGGGGGGCCAGGGCCACGGUGGCCUUUGUCUGCCUGUGCCAAACAGAUGUGAACAAACCCGAGUUCGAUUUCCAAGACCGCCUGGGGAAUAUUGCUAACUAAUUAUAGAAAACAGAAGAUGCGUUCCCCUCCUCUUGCAUUUUUUGAUAAACAUUGUCUCCUCUCAACAGCUGAGUAUUUAAUUAGUGUUGAUUGUUGUUCGCGUGUUCAAUAACCACUCAUCAGGAGGGAGGUGUCCGCUGGGGCAGCGUGGCCUGGAGCACAGAGGAGCGGAGGGUGUUCAUAAUUAAGGAUGCAAUUUAUUUGAGUAAGUCAUGUGUACAGCACCCUGUGUUUUAGGUUAAUUUUCAAGGUUAAAGGGUAAAAAAAAAAUGGCUCACAACUUCGUCAAACGAGGAGCGACGGUUGGCAACUCAACACUGAAAGCUGUGCAGGGGGUAUAUAUAUGUUUAUAUGUGUGUGCACACACACACAUGUAUCCAGGCCUCUGUGUGUGUGUGUACAUACGUGGCUGCGCACGUGCUCCCACUAGAGCCCUCCAGACCCCUCAGUGCCUCCCAUCCUCUUUCCCUACAGACUGAGCCUCUUUCCCAAGUUUUGGCUGGAAAACGCUGCCGUGUGGAGUUGGACUUUCCAGC